Molecule: ribosomal RNA, 106 nt
Filed under: Pteropus alecto (black flying fox)
Lineage: Eukaryota; Metazoa; Chordata; Mammalia; Chiroptera; Pteropodidae
Also listed under: 1 other name
Source: RNAcentral
GUCUACGGCCAUGCCACCCUGAACAAGCCCAAUGUCUGAUCUCGGAAGCUAAGCAGAGUCGAGCCUGGUUAGUACUUGGAUGGGAGACCAUCAGGUGCUGUAGGCA